AAGUCCCAGUUCGGAUUGAAGGCUGAAAUUCGCCUUCAUGAAGCCGGAAUUGCUAGUAAUGGCAGGUCAGCAUACUGCCGUGAAUACGUUCCCGGGCCUUGUACACACCGCCCGUCACACCAUGAGAGUUGGGAAUACCCGAAGCCUGUGAGCUAACUUUUAGAGGCAGCAGUCGAAGGUAGAAUCAAUGAUUGGGGUGAAGUCGUAACAAGGUACC
This 217-nucleotide ribosomal RNA is filed under the name uncultured bacterium. RNAcentral's name for it is "partial 16S ribosomal RNA". It matches the Rfam family "Bacterial small subunit ribosomal RNA", at positions 1283 to 1500 of the family's 1533-position model. The record is from RNAcentral.